ACGCUUGUCGAGAGCUCUGUCUGUGAUUUGCGUUCUUUAGCGCGCAAUGGUAACGGACUGUUGUGUUCUUUUUGCUUGAAAGAAUGCUCAGCCAACUGCUGCCAUCCAUAAUAUAUUCGCAUCACAGUCUGAGUUCUUGCUGAGCGU
RNAcentral lists this microRNA precursor (147 nucleotides) under Glossina brevipalpis. Its description in RNAcentral is "microRNA mir-11". It matches the Rfam family "mir-11 microRNA precursor family". Lineage: Eukaryota; Metazoa; Arthropoda; Insecta; Diptera; Glossinidae. The record is from RNAcentral.